RNAcentral lists this long non-coding RNA (505 nucleotides) under Lathyrus oleraceus (garden pea). Its description in RNAcentral is "Pisum sativum (pea) long non-coding RNA (PSAT_LNC041964)". The record is from RNAcentral. Lineage: Eukaryota; Viridiplantae; Streptophyta; Magnoliopsida; Fabales; Fabaceae.
AUUAGGGAUUAAAGCGUAUGACUAUGUCCCGUUCUUAGUCAACUUCAUCCAAGUUCAAGGGACUGAACAAGCCAAUCACUUCCAUCCGACAGCAGGGGAUGAGAUGCUUGAAGACAUAAUGACCGUAGUAGACUUAAAAUCAAUAGGACUUCUUCCACAUAGCUUUCUCUUUGUUUUCGACAAUUUCCUCUUACUAGGAUUUUUGUCUCCUUGUACACAAAUUACCUGUUUAUAGGCCUUCUUUCAAAAUCAAUACAACCUUCUUUCAAAAGAUGCUUUUGUUUUUACUUUUUCUGUUUUGUUUGCGUAAACGUCCAUUGAUUUAAUUUGAAUUAAUAUAUGCAUUUGAAUAUGACCAAUGUUUACCAAAAUACAUGCAUAGAAUAGCAAUAGCAAUUACUACUUCAGGAUCGAGGAUAAGGUCUAACCAUGCUUCCAAUGAAUCCGUUACCAAUUCUCUUCCCCAGCAAGCCUAUUUUUCCCAGAAGAAAUUGGCAGUAUUCCC